Molecule: ribosomal RNA, 424 nt
Filed under: uncultured bacterium
Lineage: Bacteria
Description: bacterial SSU rRNA
Rfam family: Bacterial small subunit ribosomal RNA
Source: RNAcentral
AGCGAACGCUGGCGGCAGGCCUAACACAUGCAAGUCGAACGGAUCCUUCGGGAUUAGUGGCGGACGGGUGAGUAACACGUGGGAACGUGCCUUUUGGUUCGGGAACAACUCAGGGAAACUUGAGCUAAUACCGAAUGUGCCCUUCGGGGAAAGAUUAUCGCCAUUAGAGCGGCCCGCGUCUGAUUAGCUAGUUGGUGGGGUAAAGGCUCACCAAGGCUACGAUCAGUAGCUGGUCUGAGAGGAUGAUCAGCCACAUUGGGACUGAGACACGGCCCAAACUCCUACGGGAGGCAGCAGUGGGGAAUCUUGCGCAAUGGGCGAAAGCCUGACGCAGCCAUGCCGCGUGAAUGAUGAAGGUCUUAGGAUUGUAAAAUUCUUUCACCGGGGACGAUAAAUGACGGUACCCGGAGAAGAAGCCCCGGCU